AUGUGGUUUAAUUCGAUGAUACGCGAGGAACCUUACCUGGGCUCAAAUGUAUGUUGACGUAUUCUGAAAGGGAUACUUCUUCGGACAAUAUACAAGGUGCUGCAUGGUUGUCGUCAGCUCGUGCCGUGAGGUGUCGGGUUAAGUCCCAUAACGAGCGCAACCCCUAUCAUUAGUUGCCAUCAGGUCAAGCUGGGGACUCUAAUGAAACUGCCUACGCAAGUAGUGAGGAAGGUGGGGAUGACGUCAAGUCCUCAUGGCCUUUAUGACCAGGGCUACACACGUACUACAAUGGCCGAUACAAAGGGCAGCGACACUGCGAGGUGAAGCCAAUCCCGUAAAAUACGGUCUCAGUCCGGAUUGGAGUCUGCAACUCGACUCCAUGAAGUUGGAAUCGCUAGUAAUCGUGGAUCAGCAUGCCACGGUGAAUACGUUCCCGGGCCCGUU
RNAcentral lists this ribosomal RNA (444 nucleotides) under uncultured Sphingobacteriales bacterium. RNAcentral's name for it is "bacterial SSU rRNA". It matches the Rfam family "Bacterial small subunit ribosomal RNA", at positions 939 to 1380 of the family's 1533-position model. Lineage: Bacteria; Pseudomonadati; Bacteroidota; Sphingobacteriia; Sphingobacteriales. The record is from RNAcentral.